RNAcentral lists this ribosomal RNA (301 nucleotides) under uncultured bacterium. Its description in RNAcentral is "partial 16S ribosomal RNA". It matches the Rfam family "Bacterial small subunit ribosomal RNA", at positions 509 to 809 of the family's 1533-position model. The record is from RNAcentral.
CAGUAGCCACGGUAAUACGGAGGGUGCAAGCGUUAAUCGGAAUUACUGGGCGUAAAGCGCACGCAGGCGGUCUGACAAGUCAGAUGUGAAAUCCCCGGGCUUAACCUGGGAACUGCAUUUGAAACUGUCAGGCUGGAGUCUUGUAGAGGGGGGUGGAAUUCCAGGUGUAGCGGUGAAAUGCGUAGAGAUCUGGAGGAAUACCGGUGGCGAAGGCGGCCCCCUGGACAAAGACUGACGCUCAGGUGCGAAAGCGUGGGGAGCAAACAGGAUUAGAUACCCCGGUAGUCCCUGUCUCUUAUAU